Molecule: long non-coding RNA, 474 nt
Filed under: Homo sapiens (human)
Lineage: Eukaryota; Metazoa; Chordata; Mammalia; Primates; Hominidae
Description: non-protein coding lnc-SH3BGRL2-8:1
Source: RNAcentral
UGUUUAAAACGGAGCUACUCAUGAACUCCUACCUUCUAAAUCUGUUUUUCUUAUAGUUUCCAUUUCAGUCAGUGUCCCUGUCAUCUCCUCAGUUACUGGGGGCUUCUUUCAAUCCAUCUUCUACAUUAGUAUAGAAGUGCCUGUUUCAAAAUGAAAAUCUUAUGUCAUACUGCCAUCUAAAAAUCCUCUUAUUAUUUCUAGUAAAUCAGAACUUUUUCAGCUUCAAAUUCAUAUACAUUGAGCAACGCAAAGAAAUACUCUCCCUAAAAUAAAAAUGACUAAUUCUCCAUCUCCUAAUUGUUAUUCAAAACACAUUCUUUAUAAGUAUACCUAAACACAUUUUUGCAAUACUAAAAGCAUCUGGAGAUAUAUAGCACUUACCUUGCUAUUAAUUUAAAUGCAAUCCUCAGCUGUAUUUUUAUGAAUUAAUAAAAAUGUUAUUUGGGCAAUCUGGGUUUUGCAGUUAAUCAAGAG